RNAcentral lists this ribosomal RNA (255 nucleotides) under uncultured bacterium. RNAcentral's name for it is "partial 16S ribosomal RNA". It matches the Rfam family "Bacterial small subunit ribosomal RNA", at positions 524 to 776 of the family's 1533-position model. The record is from RNAcentral.
UACGAAGGGGGGCUAGCGUUGCUCGGAAUGACUGGGCGUAAAGGGCGCGUAGGCGGCGGCCACAGUCAGAUGUGAAAGUCCAGGGCUCAACCCUGGAAUGCCGGUGGAUACUGUCGGGCUAGAGUUCGGAAGAGGCAAGUGGAAUUCCUGGUGUAGCGGUGGAAUGCGCAGAUAUCAGGAGGAACACCUAUAGCGAAGGCAGCUUGCUGGGACGACACUGACGCUAAGGCGCGAAAAGCGUGGGGAGCGAACAGG